This 559-nucleotide long non-coding RNA is filed under the name Androctonus crassicauda. Lineage: Eukaryota; Metazoa; Arthropoda; Arachnida; Scorpiones; Buthidae. The record is from RNAcentral.
UUAUUAUUUGUUUCGAGUGCCGCUCCUUUUACGUAAUUGUUUAAAUUUUGCCGAUUAUCUGCCGUGAAUCACUCGAAAAACACAAAAAUUUCAAAGUCCGAAAACAUGAUUCGAGUCACGUUUCGUUUCAUCACUUCCACGGCAAAAUAUCUGCUGCAUUGUCAUUUUUGUUUUAUAUCUUUAGCACAGUCAGCACACUGCAGCAGGAACUACAGUAUAGUCAGCAGACUAUACAGCAGGAACUCGAAAAUAUUUAGCGGAUUUUAUAAUCUGCUGAAUACUAAUUGGGGGGGGUUCUCUGAACUUUCUUCGCUUGUAUGAGAAAUGCCGAAAGUAUGCCACGUGUGUCGAAUUUUCUGGACACAUGUUAGGGAUCUGGUGGACAUCUGGACGGGCUAUAAACUCUCUUAAACUUUAACCUACGCUGGGAGGGGUAGAACGAAAUUAAACUGUAAACAGUAGAUAAAACGGGUUCCCGUAUUAAACUUUGGUUUAUUAGUGAAUUAAGGCGGAUUUAUUUAUUUAUUUAUUUAUCUAUUUUCGGUACGCGAAAAUUAAA